GAAUCUUGCGCAAUGGGCGAAAGCCUGACGCAGCAACGCCGCGUGGAGGAUGAAGGCCCUUGGGUUGUAAACUCCUGUCGGCUGGGAAGAACUCGUUCGCGGUUAAUACCCGCGGACGUUGACUGUACCAGCAACGGAAGCCCCGGCUAACUCUGGGCCAGCAGCCGCGGUAAUACAGAGGGGGCCAGCGUCAUUCGGAAUUAUUGGGCGUAAAGGGCGCGUAGGCGGCCAUGCGUGUCUUCCGUGAAAUCCCUCGGCUCAACCGAGGACGUGCGGAAGAAACUGCAAGGCUCGAGUCCGGAAGAGGGGGGCGGAAUUCCCAGUGUAGCGGUGAAAUGCGUAGAUAUUGGGAGGAACACCAGUGGCGAAGGCGGUCCCCUGGGCCGGAACUGACGCUGAGGCGCGAAAGCGUGGGUAGCAAACGGG
RNAcentral lists this ribosomal RNA (426 nucleotides) under uncultured bacterium. Its description in RNAcentral is "bacterial SSU rRNA". It matches the Rfam family "Bacterial small subunit ribosomal RNA", at positions 359 to 776 of the family's 1533-position model. The record is from RNAcentral.